This 331-nucleotide long non-coding RNA is filed under the name Fukomys damarensis (Damara mole-rat). Its description in RNAcentral is "lncRNA (ENSFDAG00000023683.1)". Lineage: Eukaryota; Metazoa; Chordata; Mammalia; Rodentia; Bathyergidae. The record is from RNAcentral.
CAUUGUGACAUGGGGGAUUAACCUUCAAUACAUGAAUCUUUGUGAGAUACUUCAUAUUCAAAUCAUAACAAUUUUAGUUUAAAAUCUAUCCUAAAAGGAUAGGUUAUAUUUUAUUUUGUAGGAUUUCAUUUACAAAAGAAACAUCAAAGACAGCUGAGCAUCUUGGCACACACCUGUAAUUCCAGCUCGUGGGAGGCUGAAGCAGGAGAACCACUGAGAGUUAAGGCCAGAUUGGGGAACAUAAGGAGUUCAAGACCAGCUCAAACUAUAUGAUGAGGCUCAAAAAGAAACAAAAAAACCACAGAGAAAUGUUAAAGUAAAAAAAAAUCAC